RNAcentral lists this ribosomal RNA (279 nucleotides) under uncultured bacterium. Its description in RNAcentral is "partial 16S ribosomal RNA". It matches the Rfam family "Bacterial small subunit ribosomal RNA", at positions 77 to 339 of the family's 1533-position model. The record is from RNAcentral.
AGCUUGCUUGGGAGAGUAAAGUGGCGCACGGGUGAGUAACGCGUGGGUAACCUACCUUUGAAUCUGGAAUAACCAGCCGAAAGGCUGACUAAUACCGGAUAUGGUUUUAGGACUUAGGUUCUCUAAAUUAAAGGUGACCUCUUCAUGAAAGUUGCCGUUCAUAGAUGGGCCCGCGUACCAUUAGCUAGUUGGUGGGGUAAUGGCCUACCAAGGCGACGAUGGUUAGCUGAUUUGAGAGGAUGAUCAGCCACACUGGGACUGAGAUACGGCCCAGACUCC